GAUGAACGCUGGCGGCGUGCCUAAUACAUGCAAGUCGAGCGAACAGACGAGGAGCUUGCUCCUCUGACGUUAGCGGCGGACGGGCGAGUAACACGUGGAUAACCUACCUAUAAUACUGGGAUAACUUCGGGAAACCGGAGCUAAUACCGGAUAAUAUAUCGAACCGCAGGAUUCAAUAGUGAAAGACGGUUUUGCUGUCACUUAUAGAUGGAUCCGCGCCGCAUUAUCUAGUUGGUAAGGUAACGGCUUACCAAGGCAACGAUGCGUAGCCGACCUGAGAGGGUGAUCGGCCACACUGGAACUGAGACACGGUCCAGACUCCUACGGGAGGCAGCAGUAGGGAAUCUUCCGCAAUGGGCGAAAGCCUGACGGAGCAACGCCGCGUGAGUGAUGAAGGUCUUCGGAUCGUAAAACUCUGUUAUUAGGGAAGAACAAAUGUGUAAGUAACUAUGCACGUCUUGACGGUACCUAAUCAGAAAGCCACGGCUAACUACGUG
RNAcentral lists this ribosomal RNA (497 nucleotides) under uncultured bacterium. RNAcentral describes it as "partial 16S ribosomal RNA". It matches the Rfam family "Bacterial small subunit ribosomal RNA", at positions 28 to 507 of the family's 1533-position model. The record is from RNAcentral.